GACGAACGCUGGCGGCGUGCUUAACACAUGCAAGUCGAACGGAAAGGCCCUGCUUUUGUGGGGUGCUCGAGUGGCGAACGGGUGAGUAACACGUGAGUAACCUGCCCUUGACUUUGGGAUAACUUCAGGAAACUUGGGCUAAUACCGGAUAGGAGCUCCUGCUGCAUGGUGGGGGUUGGAAAGUUUCGGCGGUUGGGGAUGGACUCGCGGCUUAUCAGCUUGUUGGUGGGGUAGUGGCUUACCAAGGCUUUGACGGGUAGCCGGCCUGAGAGGGUGAACGGCCACAUUGGGACUGAGAUACGGCCCAGACUCCUACGGGAGGCAGUAGUGGGGAAUAUUGCACAACGGGCGGAAGUGUGAUGCAGAAACGCCGCGUGCGGGAUGACGGCCUUCGGGUUGUAAAAAGCUUUCGCCUGUGACGAAGCGUGAGUGACGGUAAUGGGUAAAGAAGCACCGGCUAACUACGUG
This 468-nucleotide ribosomal RNA is filed under the name uncultured bacterium. Its description in RNAcentral is "partial 16S ribosomal RNA". It matches the Rfam family "Bacterial small subunit ribosomal RNA", at positions 28 to 507 of the family's 1533-position model. The record is from RNAcentral.